AUGAUGGCGCCUGUGGUGACCGCCGCACUGGGUGCUUUGGGUCCUCUGCUAGCGAAGCUCGCUAAUUUGCUCGCCAAUGAGUGCGGACGCCUCAAAAUGGUCCGCCGCGAGAUCUGGUCCCUCAAGGCUGAGCUUGCCGGCAUGCAUGGUGCUCUGACGAAGUACACCAGGCUAGAGAAUCCCGAUGAGCAGGUGAAGAUAUGGGUUUCGCUGGUCAGGGAGCUGUCCUACGAUACCNNNGAUUGUUUUGACAAGUUCAUCCACCAGCUCGGCGAUGGUGGGGGUGAUGACGGCGGCUUCAAGGAGAUCUUCCGCAAGAUGGCUCGCCGUCUCAAAACCCUUGGAGCUCGGCAUGGGAUCGCCAGCCAAAUCGACGACCUGAAGCUUCGUAUCAAGCAAGUCAAAGAGCUGAAGACUAGCUACAAGCUGGAUGAUGUUGCUUCUAGCACCACGGGCCAUGCGACCGUGGAUCCCCGGUUGGCCGCUCUUUUUGCUGAGGAGGCACACCUUGUCGGAAUUGAUGGUCCAAGGGACGACCUUGCCAAGUGGAUGAUGGAAGAAGAGAACAAGCAACGUCGCAGGGUACUGUCUAUUGUUGGGUUCGGUGGAUUGGGAAAGACAACAUUGGCGAAUGAAGUCUAUCGCAAGAUUCAAGGGCAUUUUGAUUGUCAUGCUCUUGUGUCGGUCUCCCAAAAGCCAGAUACAAAGAAAAUCAUCAAGGAUUUAAUCUCAUAUAUGUCUUGCAAUGCUGAAUUCACAAAGGAUUUGGAGAGUUGGGAUGAACAGAAAUCCAUUGGAAAGCUAAGAGAACUAUUACAAGAUAAAAGGUAUCUUGUCAUCAUUGAUGAUAUAUGGUCUACAUUAGCAUGGAAAGCAAUCAACUGUGCUUUUCCAGAGAAUGAUUCUUCAAGCAGAAUUAUAACUACAACACGCAUAUUAGAAGUAGCAAGAUCUUGUUGUCCAAAUCGUGCUGACCGGAUCUAUGAAAUGACACCUCUAAGCGACAUCCACUCUGAAAGACUAUUUUUUAACAGAAUCUUUGGUCCAGAUGACCGCUGCCCUGAUAUGCUUAUUGAAGUUUCAAAUACUAUCUUGAAAAAGUGUGGAGGCCUACCAUUGGCAAUUAUCAGUAUAACUGGUUUAUUAGCUAACAGACCACGUGUCAAAGAAGAGUGGGAGAAGGUAAAAAGAUCAAUUGGUUCUGACUUGAACGGAAACCAAAGUCUAGAGGGAAUGAAAAACAUACUGUCAUUGAGCUAUAAUGAUCUUCCACCAAACCUCAAGACUGUCUUGUUGCACUUAAGUAAUUUCCCCGAGGAUUAUGUGAUUGACAGAGAAAGGUUGGUGAGGCAAUGGAUUGCGGAAGGCUUUAUUUCUGAACAGCGUGGGAGGAGCUGUCAAGAGGUUGCAGAAAGUUAUUUUUACGAGCUUAUCAAUAAAAGCCUGGUCCAACCAGUGGACAUUCGUUAUGAUGGAAAGGUGCGGGCCUGUCGAGUUCAUGACAUGAUGCUCGAACUUAUCAUUUCGAAAUCGAUUGAAGAAAAUUUCAUCACGGUGGUGAACGGCAGUCAAACUGUUUGGGGAAAUUCUCAGUGUUCUAUUCGACGUUUAUCGAUCCAGGAUAUUGACCAGGAGCUUGCAUCUGUAUUGGCAAAGAAAGAUCUAAGCCAUGUCCGAUCUCUUAUAAUAACAUCAUCAGAUCGCAUGAAACACUUGCCCAGUCUUACUAAGUUUGAAACAUUACGUGUACUAGAUUUUCAAGGUUGCCGGGGCGUGGCACAAUAUGAUAUGGAUGGUAUGGAAAACCUGUUCCAGCUAAAGUACCUAAGUUUUAAUGGAACGGACAUAUCGGAGCUACCAUCUGGAGUUGUGAUGCUGCUUGAUCUAGAGACGCUGGAUUUAAGGGAUACAGAAAUCAGAGACUUUCCUGCCAGAAUUGUUCAGCUCACAAAACUACAACAUCUAUUCAGUGGCUCAACUGUGAGUAAGAUACCAACCGGGAUUGGGAAUAUGACAAACUUAAGGGAAAUCUCAGGCUUUAAUAUUACCAUCAGUUCAGCAGAUGCAGUGAAGGAGCUAGGGAGCCUGAUAAAUUUGAAGGUACUCCAUCUACUGUGCUGGCGUACCAGUGAAGAAUCUCCAAACUACAAGAGUAGUUCCGAGAUGUUACUCACUGCACUAUGCAAGCUUGGCAGCUACAAACUCCAGUCCAUGUGGAUAGGUGGUGGUAAUUCAUCUCUAUUCGAGUUACUAGAUUGUUGGGCUCCUCUUCCAGCUUGCCUCAAAAGAUUUGAGAUGGACACCCUGUACUGUUUAUCAAAACUGCCAAAGUGGAUUACUCCAGCGCUCACCAGUCUUGCAUGCCUGAACAUUAAUUUAAGUGUAAUAACAGAGGAGGUUCUUGGCAUACUUGGAGAGCUGCAUGUAUUACUUUGUCUGAAACUUUAUACCGACAAGGUCCAUAAAGACGUGCUAGUUUUGCAAGGCAGAGGAUUCUCAUGUUUGAAGGAGCUCGUGUAUGAACCUUUUGGUGAAGGUGCAGGGACCCUUCUGUUAGGAAGGGGCAUUGCCAAAGCUUGA
RNAcentral lists this ribosomal RNA (2580 nucleotides) under Triticum aestivum (bread wheat). Its description in RNAcentral is "partial small subunit ribosomal RNA". The record is from RNAcentral. Lineage: Eukaryota; Viridiplantae; Streptophyta; Magnoliopsida; Poales; Poaceae.